Molecule: transfer RNA, 73 nt
Filed under: Felis catus (domestic cat)
Lineage: Eukaryota; Metazoa; Chordata; Mammalia; Carnivora; Felidae
Rfam family: tRNA
About the family: Transfer RNA (tRNA) molecules are approximately 80 nucleotides in length. Their secondary structure includes four short double-helical elements and three loops (D, anti-codon, and T loops).
Source: Rfam by way of RNAcentral
GCCUGUCUGGCUCAGUUGGUAGAGCAUGCGACUCUUGAUCUCGGGGUUGUGAGUUCAAGCCUCAGGUUGGGCA